GGGAGGCAGCAGUGGGGAAUUUUGGACAAUGGGCGAAAGCCUGAUCCAGCAAUGCCGCGUGUGUGAAGAAGGCCUUCGGGUUGUAAAGCACUUUUGUCCGGAAAGAAAACCUCCGCCCUAAUAUGGUGGGGGGAUGACGGUACCGGAAGAAUAAGCACCGGCUAACUACGUGCCAGCAGCCGCGGUAAUACGUAGGGUGCAAGCGUUAAUCGGAAUUACUGGGCGUAAAGCGUGCGCAGGCGGUCCGCUAAGACAGAUGUGAAAUCCCCGGGCUUAACCUGGGAACUGCAUUUGUGACUGGCGGGCUAGAGUAUGGCAGAGGGGGGUAGAAUUCCACGUGUAGCAGUGAAAUGCGUAGAGAUGUGGAGGAAUACCGAUGGCGAAGGCAGCCCCCUGGGCCAAUACUGACGCUCAUGCACGAAUGCGUGGGGAGCAAACAGGAUUAGAUACCCUGGUAGUCCACGCCCUAAACGAUGUCAACUAGUUGUUGGGGAUUCAUUUCCUUAGUAACGUAGCUAACGCGUGAAGUUGACCGCCUGGGGA
RNAcentral lists this ribosomal RNA (543 nucleotides) under uncultured Paraburkholderia sp. Its description in RNAcentral is "bacterial SSU rRNA". It matches the Rfam family "Bacterial small subunit ribosomal RNA", at positions 343 to 879 of the family's 1533-position model. The record is from RNAcentral. Lineage: Bacteria; Pseudomonadati; Pseudomonadota; Betaproteobacteria; Burkholderiales; Burkholderiaceae.